GCUCGCCGCCGCCUCCGCUGCCGCCUUGAUAUAGUGCGGCGCGGGCGGCGCGGCCGCACUUGGCGAGCGGCGCUCGCGGCUGGGGCAGGCGGGCGUCGAAGCGGGUUGCCCGGCGCUCGGCCACCGCCAACUUGGGAAGUGUCCGCCCGGGCGAGCUCCCACCAUGAGCCGCCUCCUGCCUCUCUGCCUGCUCGGAUUGCUCCUGGGCGGCGGGCAAGAGCUUUGUGAAAGCAGCUGUUUUAAAACGUUAGAUGUGAAAUAUUUGGAAGGAGAGGUCUGAAAUAAUGAGAAAUCGUGAUACUGCUGUUGUGGACAUUGUACAGUAUGAAGGUUCUUCCAAAGAACUUCCUUUUAAAAUGUUUCUUCACGCAGAGGAGGGGAUGACAGAACAAUUGGAGAGAAAAGUGGUACCGAAUGACUGGAAACUACUAAUAUACUACCAAGUCCUGUGGCGAAUGAAGCCAAAGAAAUGUAAUCCUGUCAUGGCUGCAUUCUAAUUCCUGUUCCAUGAAUCAAGAAAGGAUGAAAGUGCCUCUGCAAACUUAUCUAUAGCUCUCACUACUGGUGCUAUAUUAUAACUUUCUAAAGGCUAUUAAAGGUAAUGUAAUUUUUUCCAUAUAUAGAAAAGGGAAAAGUCAAAAUAUUUCUGAUACCAAAGUAUGAUAACUGUUGGUUAACAGUGUUUUUAAUGAGAACCAGUGGAAUAUAUAGUUCCGAAUUGUAGUUCAUCUAUCACUAAGUUUGACUGGAAUUAAAGAAACAGAAAAACUACUGUUUUCUAAUAUAUAGCAGCACAGCUAUUGUCAACACUUAUGAAUGUUUAUCCCCUUGUUGCUCUGCUGCCCUCUCCUUUUGGAUAAAUUCAUAAAGCAUUUCAGCUUUGUCUGCCCCUCUCCCCUCUGCUCCUGUAGUUCCAAGUGAAUUAAAGCCUUUCCAGUACUCCUGAGGUUUAAAAUUAGACUGCUCCCAUCUGGUGCCAUGGAUAAAGGGGAAAAUUCAGGUAUCUUGCCUACCAUUGCAUUCUAGUAAUGAAACUGGGUGCCUUGCGGUUUCUGCAGUAAGGAUUCCUCCUUUUGUUUUUCUUUCAAAGUAACUGCUGAGGCUGUCUAUGCCCAUCUUCUUAGAAGUAGGGCUGAGGACUCAUAUGGCAUGCCCUGAGCUGGCUGUUGAGAAUUAUUAUGAGUAUCCUGGAAACUUGGGGGCAUGUGGCACAGUCUAACUUGGAGUUGGAGUGGUGCAGACCACCUUGCAGGUGGGCAGACGGCACCACUGCCUGGCCAGCAUGCAGCCCUGCCUCUACUGACUUGUGAGAACGUGGGAGAAGGGGCAGCAUCCUGGGUUUCCAGGAUUUUCAUGUCAGCUUAGUAAAAGCCCUCCCUCCCCUUGCAGCUUGUUGAGCAGCUUUUCAUGUGUGAACAUAUAUAUGCAAAUUUCUUGCAGUGUAUCAUUCCUUACAUGUUGU
Molecule: long non-coding RNA, 1462 nt
Filed under: Crocodylus porosus (Australian saltwater crocodile)
Lineage: Eukaryota; Metazoa; Chordata; Crocodylia; Crocodylidae
Description: lncRNA (ENSCPRG00005013258.1)
Source: RNAcentral